Priapulus caudatus is the source of this 167-nucleotide long non-coding RNA. RefSeq lists it as uncharacterized. The transcript has 3 exons. NCBI's taxonomy places the organism in Eukaryota, Metazoa, Priapulida, Priapulimorpha, Priapulimorphida, Priapulidae. The record is from RefSeq and is a predicted model, not a curated record.
CCUGUACGAACAUCCCCCUGAGAUUUAAAAAAAAGAGAAAAAAAAUAAGCCAAAAGUCAACUCCUGUCACAAAGAAACAUCAAGACAAGGGGAAGAAAAAGGCAAUGAAGAGUGAUGAUGGUGACGCUAUGUUUUUGUUGGCAAAGAACAGGUUUGUGACAGUGCGA